ACGCUCGACACCUACGGGGGNGAGCAGUCGGGAAUAUUGCGCAAUGGAGGAAACUCUGACGCAGUGACGCCGCGUAUAGGAAGAAGGUUUUCGGAUUGUAAACUAUUGUCGUUAGGGAAGAGAAAGGACAGUACCUAAGGAGGAAGCUCCGGCUAACUACGUGCCAGCAGCCACGGUAAUCUGAGCGGGCUGGCAAGGC
RNAcentral lists this ribosomal RNA (199 nucleotides) under uncultured bacterium. RNAcentral's name for it is "partial 16S ribosomal RNA". It matches the Rfam family "Bacterial small subunit ribosomal RNA", at positions 328 to 539 of the family's 1533-position model. The record is from RNAcentral.